RNAcentral lists this ribosomal RNA (250 nucleotides) under uncultured bacterium. RNAcentral describes it as "partial 16S ribosomal RNA". It matches the Rfam family "Bacterial small subunit ribosomal RNA", at positions 86 to 339 of the family's 1533-position model. The record is from RNAcentral.
CUUUUGAGAGCGGCGGACGGGUGAGUAACGCGUAGGAACCUACCUAAUAGAUUGGGAUAGCCCAGAGAAAUUUGGAUUAAUACCGAAUACGCCCUACGGGGGAAAGCAGGGGAUCUUCGGACCUUGCGCUAUUAGAUGGGCCUGCGUGAGAUUAGCUUGUUGGUGAGGUAAGAGCUCACCAAGGCGACGAUCUCUAGCUGGUCUGAGAGGAUGAUCAGCCACACUGGAACUGAGACACGGUCCAGACUCC